This is a non-coding RNA of Musa acuminata subsp. malaccensis (wild Malaysian banana), 2169 nucleotides long. The record is from RefSeq and is a predicted model, not a curated record. Lineage: Eukaryota; Viridiplantae; Streptophyta; Magnoliopsida; Zingiberales; Musaceae.
UUUGCAUAUUCAAUUAGUGUAAUAUAGAGUUUUGAGAUAAACUAUUGUUGUUUCUUUUGAGUUUAGAUCUUUGCAUUAGACUUAUAAUUUUUUUUUAAUUUUUGAUGGCAAGCCCUUAUUAUAUCUGACUUUUUCAUGGGUAAAAUCUAGAGUAAUAGUUGACUCUCAAGUUUAGUCCGCAUCAAAUGUGAUAGGAGAAUCUGUUAAGUUGAAUUAUACGGGUAGAUAUCUAAUCUAGCUUUAUCUGUUGAAAAGAAAAUUAUACGGGUAGAUGAAGCUGCUGCUAAUUUUGGUUUAAGCAUUUUCAGUCACAUUGUUCUAGGUCUAUCAAGUCAUAUAGCUAGGUUGUGAUGCCUUGUGCCUCCUCUUUUUGUGUUGCGAAAAGGAUAACUGAUAUUAUUAUAUGUGAUAAUUCUCCCUUAGUUUCAGAUCCUUUCCCUAUUAGUAAUAUGGAGGUUUCUCCUUGGUAGUAGGAGGUGAUUGAAGCAACCAUUAAGGUCUACCUUUCUAUGUGUCCAUUAGCCUUUAGGUUCCAUGACAUUCUCAUCUCUUUUUAAAAUGCAUCUGUUUGUUACUAAGCACUGAUCAGGUAUUCUAAACAUUCUCAUUUCUGCCAUUUAAAUUUAGCAUCGUUCCCUAAUUAAGAUCCCAUUCCUAUUGUCAUCAGUGAAUAGCUGCAAAUUUUCUAUAUCAUGUUGGAGUUGCAAAAUAGAGGUUCCAUGUCAAAUACUGUAUGUUUUGUACUAUGCACACUUUUAUGACUAGAAAUGUUUAAUUGUUUUUGGUUGGGUUUAUUGGGUUUCAGUUUUGAAUAAGUAUUUUCAUGUUCAAUUGAUUGGCUGUUUUGAACAUUAAACCAUUUUUGAGGGAGUAGUGGUGUCACAUAAGGUUGCUCAUUCUUGACCUGGAUGAUCAGUGUUUGCGAGUCAUGAAAUUGCCUCUGUUGUAUAUAGUGACCCUCCCCAAACCUUGUAUUCAAAUGUGGCUCAUUCAUUGUGUUGUCAUAUCUUAGACCUCUAGCCAUUGGUAAUUUUAUGUUUUGUCUUAGGUGCUGGAUAAGUAAGAUUCUGCAAGAAACAAGGCAACUGAUGAAGCUUUUAAGAACCUGGUGUUAACAAAGGUGUAAGAAACUGAAGAGGGUGCAUGACCUUGUCUAGAAGAUUUUGGAGCUCGCUAGUAAAGAUUGACUAGAUUGAUCUUAUAUAUGCUUGGAUUUCAUCAUGAGAGGAAGAAGAAGGAUGCAUUGGUGACAUUUGAUGAGGAGGAAUCAACUGGAAUCAUGAAGUUUAGUUAACCUUUACAGUUUACAUGCCAUCUUUCACGUCUACUCAUUUAUUGAUCUCAUGAUCACAGCAGAUCUUAUAUAUGCUUGGAUUUCAUCAUGAGAAGAAGAAGAAGGAUGUCUACAUGAGCAAGCAGGCUGUGCUGAUUCCUUUUGUCAUGAUGAAGGCAUCAUGUACACAGGAAAACCCAGGUUGAGUUGGACUUCUUGGUUUAAGGCAUGCAUUUAUAUUUGACUCUUUCCAUCUGCCUCCUUUGUUCCUGCACAAUGGUUUCUUGUUGCACAGAGUUGGUUCUCUGGAAAUUGUGUGUCAUAACUGCUGAUAGAUCUAACGAUUAUGAAAUCCAACUUCACUUUCUGUUACUUAUCUUUUCCUCAUGUAAUAUAGCUCUUAAUUCUAUGAUUCACCACUGUGAAAAAGGGGCCAUUUGAAACGGUGGCGAUAUGGAUUUGUUCUUCCAAGUUUUAACCCUCUUUUUCGUGGUAUUGACAGCAGUAAGCCAAUGAAUUAUAGAAAUGUGUUUAAUUACAUGUUCAGUUUGUGAUGACCUCUUCCCUUCUUUUUUCCAGGAAAUCCAAACAUGACCAUUGAAAGAAACACAGUCAAAUCUUGAAGACGAUAUGUAUGACCAGCUUGAAGUAGAAAGAUCUGCUUGUUGCCAGCGUUAGACAGGAAGUAGCGGGUGAAAGCUUGCAGAUGCAUGUGAGGCAACCCAAUCCUCACGUCCAUCCUUCCCGCUUCACUCGGGCUCUGCAUGAAGUACGCAACCUGAGGAAAUGGAGUGGCCAAGGGAGUCACAAAGACUGCUUUCCCAAGCCCGAAAUCGAUGCUGUGGUACGGGGUCUUUGUCCAGUCCGACACCAUCGUCAGCUCCGGCAGUGGGGGG